Non-coding RNA from Rattus norvegicus (Norway rat), 236 nucleotides. The record is from Rfam. NCBI's taxonomy places the organism in Eukaryota, Metazoa, Chordata, Mammalia, Rodentia, Muridae.
GAAAUGGAGGUUUUCUUCUACCUAAGGAUCCUGUCUGCAGAACAUAUUUAAACUGGGGUGUUUCUCCCUCUGUUCCAUAACUGUUUGAGGAUGGCAGGUGUCUCUUGGGGGCUGUGAAGGUCUGGAUGCCUGUGACAAUGUCACUCCCUGAUGCUUCUGUUGGGUGAUACCGCCAAACCCUGAAUUCUUCCACUGUAUGUAGGUAUAUUAGGGAGAGUCUUCUGAGUUACCGCAGA